RNAcentral lists this ribosomal RNA (3039 nucleotides) under Oedocladium carolinianum. RNAcentral describes it as "bacterial LSU rRNA". It matches the Rfam family "Bacterial large subunit ribosomal RNA". Lineage: Eukaryota; Viridiplantae; Chlorophyta; Chlorophyceae; Oedogoniales; Oedogoniaceae. The record is from RNAcentral.
AUCCAAUGAACUAAAGCGGACGGUGGAGACCUAGGCACUCAGGGCCGAAGAAGGGCGUAGUAACCGACGAAACGCUCCGGGGAGCUGGAAACGAGCUUUGAUCCGGAGAUUCCCGAAUAGGGCAACCUUAUAGACUUCUUUUUCAAUUCAUAUAAAAGAAGAGGGAACCCGGUGAACUGAAACAUCUCAAUAGCCGGAGGAAAAGAAAGCAAACGCGAUUCCCUUAGUAGCGGCGAGCGAAACGGGAACAGCCUAAACCAAUUAUUUGGUACUCAACAGAGUCCUAAAAUUGGUGUCGUGGGAUUAGCGAAGCGGUAUACCAAAAUCUCUUUUCUUUAUCGGAGAAGAAUGAAUUUGGGUAUCUCUUAUUCUUGUUUAAUACUAAUACAGUUAAAGAAAAUAAAUCAAUGACUAAAUUAAGACGAAGCAGCUGAAUCCUGCACCAUAGAUGGUGAAAGUCCAGUAGCCUUAAAUAGAAAAUUUUGAUCAACGUCUAAUCCCGAGUAGCAUGGGACACGUGGAAUCCCGUGUGAAUCAGCGAGGACCACCUCGUAAGGCUAAAUACUCUUGAGUGACCGAUAGCGAAAAGUACCGUGAGGGAAUGGGUAAAAGAACCCCUGCAGGGGAGUGAAAAAGAACAUGAAACCGUCCGCUGACAAGCAGUGGGAGGAAAAGAAUUUCUGACCGCGUGCCUGUUGAAGAAUGAGCCGGCGACUUAUAGGAAGUGGCGUGGUUAAGGAAUGACAUCCGGAGCCAGAGCGAAAGCAAGUCUGAAUAGGGCAUUUGUCACUUCUUAUGGACCCGAACCCAGGUGAUCUAACCGUGACCAGGAUGAAGCUUGGGUAAAACCAAGUGGAAGGCCGGACCGACCGAUGUUGAAAAAUCGGCGGAUGAGUUGCGGUUAGCAGGAGAAAUUCCAAUCGAACUUGGAGCUAGCUGGAUCUCCCCGAAAUGUGUUGAGGCACAGCGGUAACGAUGGGCUACCUUUGGGUAAAGCGACUGUUUUGGUGCGGGCUGCGAAAGCGGUACCAAGUCAUGGCAAACUCAGAAUCAAAGGUAAGGCUUUCCGUGAACCAGUGAGAAUGUCGGAGAUAAGUUUGACAUUCAAGAGGGAAACAGCCCAGAUCACCAGCUAAGGCCCCUGAAUGGCCGCUAAGUGGAAAAGGAUGUGGGGAUGCUCAAACAACCAGGAGGUUUGCUUAGAAGCAGCAACCCUUGAAAGAGUGCGUAACAGCUCACUGGUACAAGCGUUCUUGCGCCGAUAAUGACCGGGACUAAGCGGCCUGCCGAAGCUGUGAGAUAUGAUUUGAUCUGAAUCAAUCUAUCGGUAGGGGAGCGUUCCGUUAUCGGGUGAAGCCAUGACGAAAGUCAUUGUGGACGAAACGGAAGUGAGAAUGUCGGCUUGAGUAACGAAAACAUUGGUGAGAAUCCAAUGCCCCGAAAACCUAAGGGUUCCUUCACUAGGCUCGUCCAUGAAGGGUUAGUCAGGUCCUAAGAUUAGGCCGAAAGGCGUCGUCGAUGGAAAUCAGGUUAAUAUUCCUGAACUGAUUGAAGUUUAAGGAUCCCGAGGGACGAAGAAGGCUAAGCUGGAACUGUUUAUGGAUUGCAGUGGAAACGUCCAAGGUUAUGAGAAAGAGAAUGAAAACUCUUUUGAGCUGAGGCGUGAUCCCGUUAGGAAUCGAAUCUUUGAUUGGAUUCCUCGCCAGCGAUGUCACACUUCCAAGAAAAGCUCGUUCGAUUCAUACUUCAACACCUGUACCAGAAACCGACACAGGUAGGUGGGUAGAGAAUACCUAGGGGCGCGAGAGAACUCUCUCUAAGGAACUCGGCAAACUGGCCCCGUAACUUCGGAAGAAGGGGUGCCCCUGCGAAGGGGUCGCAGUGACCAGGCUCUGGCGGCUGUUUACCAAAAACACAGGUAUCCGCAAAGUCGUAAGACAAUAUAUGGGUGCCGACACCUGCCCAGUGCCGGAAGGUGAAGGAAGUUGGUUAGGGGUUUCCUGAAGCUAACGACCGAAGCCCCGGUGAACGGCGGUUGUAACUAUGACAAUCCUAAGGUAGCGAAAUUCCUUGCCAGGUAAGUUCUGGCCUGCACGAAAGGUGUAACGAUCUGAGCGCUGUCUCGGAGAGAGACUCGGUGAAAUAGACUUGUCCGUGAAGAUGCGGACUACCUACACCAGGACAGAAAGACCCUAUGAAGCUUGACUGUAUCCUGGAAUGGGGUUCGGGCUCUUCUUGCGCAGCCUAGGUGGGAGGCGAUGAGGGCUUCCUUUCGGGGAAGUCGUAGCCAUCAUUGAGAGACCACUCUGGGAGAGCUAGAAUCCUAAUGGCGAUCCUUGAACCAGGACGCUUGAAAGUUUCAGGUGGGCAGUUUUUCUGGGGCGGAAAUCUCCCAAAAGGUAACGGAGAUGUGCAAAGGUUCCCUCAGUCUGGACGGAAAUCAGACAAUGAGUGCAAAGGCAUAAGGGAGCUUGACUGCAAGACCUACAAGUCGAGCAGGCUGGAAACAGGGCCUUAGUGAUCCGACGGUUCCGCGUGGAAGGGCCGUCGCUCAACGGAUAAAAGUUACUCUAGGGAUAACAGGCUGAUCUUCCCCAAGAGUUCACAUCGACGGGAAGGUUUGGCACCUCGAUGUCGGCUCAUCGCAGCUCAGGGCGGUAGUACGUCCUAAGAGUAAGACUGUUCGUCUUUUAAAGCGGUACGUGAGCUGGGUUCAGAACGUCGUAAGACAGUUCGGUCCAUAUCCGGUGUAGGCGCUAGAGUAUUGAGAGGAUCCUUCUAUAGUACGAGAGGACCUAUGAAGGACGCACCUAUGGUAUACCAGUUCUUGGUCCCCCAGGAAACGCUGGGUAGCUACGUGCGGAGUGGAUAACUGCUGAUAGCGUCUAAGUAGGAAGCCCACCUCAAGAUGAGUACUCUUCCGAGUAGAUAGUUUAUCGAAAGGUAUGAGGUCACGGCUAGACAAGCCGAUAAUAGGUGUUAGGUGAAAGACCAGCAAUGGUUUCAGCCGAGACAUACUAACGACCCAAUCAUUUGGAU